CCUACGGGCGGCAGCAGUGAGGAAUAUUGGUCAAUGGCCGGAAGGCUGAACCAGCCAAGCCGCGUGAAGGACGAAGGUGCCAAGCAUUGUAAACUUCUUUUGUCAAGGGACAAAAUCAGGCUCGAGAGCCUGACCGAGGGUACUUGAAGAAAAAGCAUCGGCUAACACCGUGCCCGCAGCCGCGGUAAUACGGAGGAUGCGAGCGUUAUCCGGAUUUAGUGGGUUUAAGGGGUCGGUAGGCGGACUGUGAAGUCAGCGGGAAAAGCCCGGGGCUCAACCCCGGCGAGCCGUUGAAACUGGCUGUCUGGAGAGGUCGAGAGGUAGGCGGAAUGCGCAGUGUAGCGGUGAAAUGCUUAGAUAUUGCGCAGAACUCCGAUUGCGAAGGCAGCAUACCGGCGGCGAUCUGACGCUGAGGCACGAAAGCGUGGGUAUCGAACAGGAUUAGAUACCCCUGUAGUC
RNAcentral lists this ribosomal RNA (459 nucleotides) under uncultured bacterium. Its description in RNAcentral is "partial 16S ribosomal RNA". It matches the Rfam family "Bacterial small subunit ribosomal RNA", at positions 338 to 795 of the family's 1533-position model. The record is from RNAcentral.